UACGUAGGGUGCGAGCGUUAAUCGGAAUUACUGGGCGUAAAGGGCUUGUAGGUGGCCAACUAAGUCAGACGUGAAAUCCCUCGGCUUAACCGGGGAACUGCGUCUGAUACUGGAUGGCUUGAGUGUGGGAGAGGGAUGCGGAAUUCCUGGUGUAGCAGUGAAAUGCGUAGAUAUCAGGAGGAACACCGAUGGCGAAGGCAGGUCUCUGGGCUGACACUGACGCUCAUGCACGAAAGCGUGGGGAGCAAACAGG
This 253-nucleotide ribosomal RNA is filed under the name uncultured bacterium. RNAcentral's name for it is "partial 16S ribosomal RNA". It matches the Rfam family "Bacterial small subunit ribosomal RNA", at positions 524 to 776 of the family's 1533-position model. The record is from RNAcentral.